GAUGAACGCUGGCGGCGUGCCUAAUACAUGCAAGUCGAGCGAACGGACGAGAAGCUUGCUUCUCUGAUGUUAGCGGCGGACGGGUGAGUAACACGUGGAUAACCUACCUAUAAGACUGGGAUAACUUCGGGAAACCGGAGCUAAUACCGGAUAAUAUUUUGAACCUCAUGGUUCAAAAGUGAAAGACGGUCUUGCUGUCACUUAUAGAUGGAUCCGCGCUGCAUUAGCUAGUUGGUAAGGUAACGGCUUACCAAGGCAACGAUGCAUAGCCGACCUGAGAGGGUGACCGGCCACACUGGAACUGAGACACGGUCCAGACUCCUACGGGAGGCAGCAGUAGGGAAUCUUCCGCAAAGGGCGAAAGCCUGACGGAGCAACGCAGCGUGAGUGAUGAAGGUCUUCGGAUCGUAAAACUCUGUUAUUAGGGAAGAACAUAUGUGUAAGUAACUGUGCACAUCUUGACGGUACCUAAUCAGAAAGCCACGGCUAACUACGUG
This 497-nucleotide ribosomal RNA is filed under the name uncultured bacterium. Its description in RNAcentral is "partial 16S ribosomal RNA". It matches the Rfam family "Bacterial small subunit ribosomal RNA", at positions 28 to 507 of the family's 1533-position model. The record is from RNAcentral.